AGCUUGAUAGCUCAGUCUGUACAGCGUGAGACUUUUACUCUCAGGGUCAUAGGUUUGAGCCCCAUGUUGGGCAA
Molecule: non-coding RNA, 74 nt
Organism: Podarcis lilfordi (Lilford's wall lizard)
Lineage: Eukaryota; Metazoa; Chordata; Lepidosauria; Squamata; Lacertidae
Source: the annotation of a GenBank genome assembly